RNAcentral lists this ribosomal RNA (639 nucleotides) under Triticum aestivum (bread wheat). RNAcentral describes it as "partial small subunit ribosomal RNA". Lineage: Eukaryota; Viridiplantae; Streptophyta; Magnoliopsida; Poales; Poaceae. The record is from RNAcentral.
AAAGAUCAGGGAGGGUUGGGGUUUACUAAUUUGGAGGUUAAGAACAUUAGCUUGUUAUGUAAGUGGUUGUGGAGAUUAGAAAAUGAGGAAUCAUCUCUGGGCAACUCUCAUUUCUGGAAUGGGUUGUUGAGUGUAAAGGAUGUUUUCUAUACUUGUUGUCAAAGGGUUGUGGGUAAUGGAUGUAAGACGAGAUUCUGGGAGGACGCCUGGUUGGGGAGCAAGCCGCUUUGCCAAAAAAAUCAUUUGUAUAAUUUAACUUUUUGUCAGCAUGCUACUGUAGCUAAGGUCUUUAACCAAGAUUUUGAUUGCAUUAGGUUUAGGAGAUGUCUCUAUGGAGAAACCCUUGAUAUGUGGAAUAAAUUACUUGAUAUGUGCAGUCAGGUUACUCUUUCGGGAGGACCUGACAAAGUUAAAUGGUUACUAACUAAAUCGGGAUCCUUCUCGGUUAAGUCGCUUUAUCAUUACAUUAUUGCUAGAGUCGUUGUCUUUCCAUUUAAAAUUCUUUGGAGGGUGAGAAUAGCUAGAGUCGUUGUGAUUAAGGGAAGGAUCCUAACUAAGGAUAACUUUUCUAAGAGAGGGUGGAAAGGAUCAAAUUUCUGUAAAUUUUGUGGGACUGCUGAAAGCAUCGAUCACUUGUGA